RNAcentral lists this transfer RNA (65 nucleotides) under Trigonopterus sp. 1 AH-2016. Its description in RNAcentral is "tRNA-His". Lineage: Eukaryota; Metazoa; Arthropoda; Insecta; Coleoptera; Curculionidae. The record is from RNAcentral.
AUUUAGAUAGUUUAAAUAAAAUAUUAAUUUGUGGAAUUAAUGAUGUAAAGUAAGAACUUUAAGUA